UGCAGCAGUCCACUCGUACGUGCCUUAUUCCUUCAUUAACGUGUGGGCCCCGCCACCACGUCAGAUCACCAUCAAGCUUCAGCCAAACCGACCACGCACGAACAUAUCAAUUUGCAGUUUCUUGACGUUUCUCUUCAAUUGAUUCCGGGCGUUUUAAGCCACUAUUUGAUGCACCGUUUGUUGCUACUUAAGCCCCACACCCUUCUCUUCAUUUCCCCUCAAAUCGCACAGACCGAGAGCCUCCAGGCUGCUCGAAUUUUGCCUCGCAAUUCCGCGGUACCGUCGCGGUAAAUCGUCGAUUACGCGACGGCGCCAUCUUCGUCUCUCAGCACGUCCGCGGGACGGUUCUUUUCGCGAGAGAUUCCGGCGAGAAACUCCCACGAACUUAGGCUACGUUUCCGACCGACGUAUUCUUCCGCGUCUGCAUCGUGCGGUACGCCAGCAUUUCAACGGCGAGCAACACCGGGAGGCGCACCAUCGAGUUCCCAUCGUGGAGAAGGUCUCCGUGGUCUGCUUCACGGUCGCCAUGGAGCACGGGAGCGCGGUCAUCCUCGUCAAUCCUCCACGCCCUGCCGCCGGCGUUUGCACGGAGAGCUGCGUGUUUUGAUUAAGAGAAGUGAACGUUCUUCAACUACCAAAAAGGCAAG
This is a long non-coding RNA of Lolium perenne, 647 nucleotides long. RefSeq lists it as uncharacterized. The record is from RefSeq and is a predicted model, not a curated record. Lineage: Eukaryota; Viridiplantae; Streptophyta; Magnoliopsida; Poales; Poaceae.